RNAcentral lists this ribosomal RNA (160 nucleotides) under Dothideomycetidae sp. Its description in RNAcentral is "partial large subunit ribosomal RNA". It matches the Rfam family "Eukaryotic large subunit ribosomal RNA", at positions 99 to 261 of the family's 3401-position model. Lineage: Eukaryota; Fungi; Ascomycota; Dothideomycetes. The record is from RNAcentral.
CGGCAACAGCUCAAAUUUGAAAUCUGGCCUUUGGCCCGAGUUGUAAUUUGUAGAGGAUGCUUCUGGGCAGCGGCCGGUCUAAGUUCCUUGGAACAGGACGUCAUAGAGGGUGAGAAUCCCGUAUGCGACCGGCUUGCACCCGUCACGUAGCUCCUUCGAC